UGCAGCCAGGUCCCGGGAAGCCGGGAGAGCUGACUGAUGAACUUGAGGCGGUCCCUGCUCGGCUUCACCUUUUGCACCUGUUACCUGGCUUCUCACCUCACCAACAAGUAUGUCCUGUCUGUCCUGAAAUUUACCUACCCUACAUUAUUCCAAGGGUGGCAGACACUCAUUGGCGGACUUUUGCUUCACAUGUCAUGGAAACUGGGCUGGGUGGAGAUCAACAGCAGUCUAAGAUCUGAUGUUUUGACGUGGCUUCCUGCUUCAGUGCUAUUUGUGGGCAUAAUCUAUGCGGGGUCCAAAGCUUUAUCUAGACUGGCAGUUCCUGUGUUUCUCAUUUUGCAUAAUGCAGCUGAAGUUCUCACCUGUGGGUUCCAGAAGUGCGUCUGGAAAGAGGUAA
RNAcentral lists this long non-coding RNA (397 nucleotides) under Rattus norvegicus (Norway rat). RNAcentral describes it as "long non-coding RNA NONRATT013660". The record is from RNAcentral. Lineage: Eukaryota; Metazoa; Chordata; Mammalia; Rodentia; Muridae.